CCUACGGGAGGCAGCAGUGGGGAAUAUUGGGCAAUGGAGGAAAGUCUGACCCAGCGACGCCGCGUGCGGGAUGAAGGCCUUCGGGUUGUAAACCGCUUUCAGCAGGGAAGAAGCGAAAGUGACGGUACCUGCAGAAGAAGCACCGGCUAACUAUGUGCCAGCAGCCGCGGUAAUACAUAGGGUGCAAGCGUUGUCCGGAAUUAUUGGCCGUAAAGAGCUCGUAGGUGGUUCGUCACGUCGGAUGUGAAAAUCUGGGGCUUAACCCCAGACCUGCAUUCGAUACGGGCGAGCUUGAGUAUGGUAGGGGAGUCUGGAAUUCCUGGUGUAGCGGUGGAAUGCGCAGAUAUCAGGAGGAACACCAAUGGCGAUAGGCAGGACUCUGGGCCAUUACUGACACUGAGGAGCGAAAGCGUGGGGGAGCGAACAGGAUUAGAUACCCUGGUAGUCCACGCCGUAAACGGUGGGCACUAGUUGUGGGGGACCUUCCACGGUCUCUGCGACGCAGCUAACGCAAUAAGUGCCCCGCCUGGGGA
This 533-nucleotide ribosomal RNA is filed under the name uncultured bacterium. Its description in RNAcentral is "bacterial SSU rRNA". It matches the Rfam family "Bacterial small subunit ribosomal RNA", at positions 338 to 879 of the family's 1533-position model. The record is from RNAcentral.